UAUAGGUCAGUCACAGUACCACACAACACUCAUCCUACUACAGGUCAGUCACAGUACCACAUGACACUCAUCCUACGACAGGUCAGUCAGUCACAGUACCACACUACACUCAUCCUUCUACAGGUCAGUCACAGUACCACAUGGCACUCGUCCUUCUACAGGUCAGUCACAGUAACACACACCACUCAUCCUUCUACACGUCAGUCACAGUACCACACACCACUCAACCUACUACAGGUCAGUCACAGUACCACACGACACUCAUCCUACUACAGGUCAGUCACAGUACUACAUGACACUCCUCCUACUACAGGUCAGUCACAGUACCACACAACACUCAUCCUACUACAGGUCAGUCACAGUACCACAUGACACUCAUCCUAUGACAGGUCAGUCAUUCGCAGUAACACACGACACUCAUCCUACUACAGGUCAGUCAGUCACAGUACCACACUACACUCAUCCUACUACAGGUCAGUCACAGUACUACAUGACACUCAUCCUACUACAGGUCAGUCACAGUACCACACAACACUCAUCCUACUACAGGUCAGUCACAGUACCACAUGACACUCAUCCUACCUCAGGUCAGUCACAGUACCACACGACACUCAUCCUACUGCAAGUCAUUCACAGUCCCACACAACACUCAUCCUACUACAGGUCAGUCUGUCACAGUACCACACUACACUCAUCCUUCUACAGGUCAGUCACAGUACCACAUGGCACUCAUCCUUCUACAGGUCAGUCACAGUACCAUACGAAACUCAUCCUACUACAGGUCAGUCACAGUACCACACGACACUCAUCCUUCUACACGUCAGUCACAGUACCACACACCACUCAACCUUCUACACGUCAGUCAGUCACAGUAACACAUGACACUCAUCCUUCUACAGGUCAGUCAGUAACAGUACCACACGACACUCAUCCCACUACAGGUCAGUCAGUCACAGUACCACAUGACAUUCAUCCUACCUCAGGUCAGUCACAGUACCACACGACACUCAUCCUACUACAGGCCAGUCAGUCACAGUACCACAUGACACUCAUCCUACGACAGGUCAUUCACAGUACCACAUGACAUUCAUCCUACCUCAGGUCAGUCACAGUACCACACGACACUCAUCCUACUGCAAGUCAUUCACAGUCCCACACAACACUCAUCCUACUACAGGUCAGUCUGUCACAGUACCACACUACACUCAUCCUUCUACAGGUCAGUCACAGUACCACAUUGCACUCAUCCUUCUACAGGUCAGUCACAGUAACACACACCACUCAUCCUUCUACACGUCAGUCACAGUACCACACACCACUCAUCCUUCUACACGUCAGUCACAGUACCACACACCACUCAACCAUCUACACGUCAGUCAGUCACAGUACCACACGACACUCAUCCUACUACAGGUCAGUCAGUCACAGUACCACAUGACACUCAUCCUACGACAUGUCAUUCACAGUACCACAUGACACUCAUCCUACUACAGGUCAGUCACAGUACCACACAACACUCAUCCUACUACAGGUCAGUAACAGUACCACACGACACUCAUCCCACUACAGGUCAGUCAGUCACAGUACCACAUGACACUCAUCCUACGACAGGUCAUUCACAGUACCACAUGACAUUCAUCCUACCUCAGGUCAGUCACAGUACCACACGACACUCAUCCUACUGCAAGUCAUUCACAGUCCCACACAACACUCAUCCUACUACAGGUCAGUCUGUCACAGUACCACACUACACUCAUCCUUCUACAGGUCAGUCACAGUACCACAUUGCACUCAUCCUUCUACAGGUCAGUCACAGUAACACACACCACUCAUCCUUCUACACGUCAGUCACAGUACCACACACCACUCAACCUACUACAGGUCAGUCACAGUACCACACGACACUCAUCCUACUACAGGUCAGUCACAGUACUACAUGACACUCCUCCUACUACAGGUCAGUCACAGUACCACACAACACUCAUCCUACUACAGGUCAGUCACAGUACCACAUGACACUCAUCCUAUGACAGGUCAGUCAUUCGCAGUAACACACGACACUCAUCCUACUACAGGUCAGUCAGUCACAGUACCACACGACACUCAUCCUACUUACAGGUCAGUCGCAGUACCACACAACACUCAUCCUACUACAGGUGAGUCACAUCACUACAUGACACUCAUCCUACUACAGUUCAGUCAUUCAUAGUCCCACACGACACUCAUACUACUACAGGUCAUUCACAGUACCAAACGACACUCAUCCUACUACAGGUCAGUCACAGUACUACGUGACACUCGUCCUACUACAGGUCAGUGACAGUACCACAUGACACUCAUCCUACUACAGGUCAGUCAGUCACAGUACCACACGACACUCAUCUUACGACAGGUCAGUCAUUCACAGUACCACACGACACUCAUCCUACUCCAGGUCAGUCACAGUACCACACGACACUCAUCCUACUCCAGGUCAGUCACAGUACCACACAACACUCAUCCUUCUACUGGUCAGUCAAGUCACAGUACCACACAACACUCAUCCUACUCCAGGUCAGUCACAGUACCACACAACACUCAUCCUACUACAGGUCAGUCAGUCACAGUACCACACGACACUCAUCCUAAUACAGGUCAUUCACAGUACCACACGACACCAGUCCUUCUACAUGUCAGUCAGUCACAUUACUACAUGACACUCCUCCUAAUACAGGUCAGUCAGUCACAGUACCACACGGCACUCAUCCUACUACAGGUCAUUCACAAUACCACAUGACACUCAUCCUACUACAGGUCAUUCGCAGUAACACACGACUCUCAUCCUACUACAGGUCAUUCCCAGUACGACAUGAUACUCAUCCUACUACAGGUCAGUCAGUCACAGUACCACACUACACUCAUCCUACUACAGGUCAGGCACAGUACCACAUGACACUCAUCCUACUACAGGUCAGGCACAGUACCA
Long non-coding RNA from Oncorhynchus keta (chum salmon), 2965 nucleotides. RefSeq lists it as uncharacterized. The transcript has 3 exons. The record is from RefSeq and is a predicted model, not a curated record. NCBI's taxonomy places the organism in Eukaryota, Metazoa, Chordata, Actinopteri, Salmoniformes, Salmonidae.